GUGCUCACUUUGGCAGCACAUAUACUAAAAUUGGAAUGAUACAGAGAAGAUUAGCAUGGCCCCUGUGCAAGGAUGACACGUAAAUGGCAGACUGUGUGGUCCUGUGG
Molecule: small nuclear RNA, 107 nt
Organism: Octodon degus (degu)
Lineage: Eukaryota; Metazoa; Chordata; Mammalia; Rodentia; Octodontidae
Source: Ensembl